AAACCAACAGGGAUUACCUCAGUAACGGCGAGUGAAGCGGUAACAGCUCAAAUUUGAAAUCUGGGUCUUUCAGGCUCCGAGUUGUAAUUUGUAGAAGAUGCUUCGGGUGCGGCUCCGGUCUAAGUUCCUUGGAACAGGACGUCAUAGAGGGUGAGAAUCCCGUAUGUGAUCGGUUGCUUGCGCCCAUGUGAAGCUCUUUCGACGAGUCGAGUUGUUUGGGAAUGCAGCUCAAAAUGGGUGGUAAAUUUCAUCUAAAGCUAAAUAUUGGCCAGAGACCGAUAGCGCACAAGUAGAGUGAUCGAAAGAUGAAAAGCACUUUGGAAAGAGAGUUAAACAGUACGUGAAAUUGUUGAAAGGGAAGCGCUUGCAGCCAGACUUGCGCGUUGCUGAUCAUCCGGGGUUCUCCCCGGUGCACUCGGCUUCGCUCAGGCCAGCAUCGGUUUUGGUGAUGGGAUAAAGGCCUUGGGAAUGUAGCUUCUUUCGGGGAGUGUUAUAGCCCUCGGUGCAAUGCCGCCUACUGGGACCGAGGACCGCGCUUCGGCUAGGAUGCUGGCGUAAUGGUUGUAAGCGAC
Molecule: ribosomal RNA, 572 nt
Filed under: uncultured fungus
Lineage: Eukaryota; Fungi
Description: eukaryotic LSU rRNA
Rfam family: Eukaryotic large subunit ribosomal RNA
Source: RNAcentral